AUGGAGAGCAAGUGCGGGUGGGUGUCUCACUCAAAGCGAUGGAGGGUGAUACAACAAGAGUGCAACAAGUUUUGUGCAGCCUUGGAGAGCAUCCAAGCAUGUCCUGUGAGCGGCCUCGGCCUCAGAGAUAUGGCAUUCCAAGCUUUAGAGGCAUUGAAGGCCCAACAUCACGGCAAGUCCUUCAACCUCACCUAUUGUUGGAUGAUCAUCAACGGGGAGGAGAAAUUCAAGGCGCAAUAUGCCGCCGCUAAGGCGUGUGGGGGCAGGAAGUCAUCAAGGAGCAUGGGGAGGGCGAGAAGGCACGGCCGCGGGGGAAGACCAACUCCAAGAAGAAGGACAAGCGUGAUGCGGCGCCGAUUGCCUUGCAUGCAACUUUGGAGGGCAUGA
RNAcentral lists this ribosomal RNA (387 nucleotides) under Triticum aestivum (bread wheat). RNAcentral's name for it is "partial small subunit ribosomal RNA". Lineage: Eukaryota; Viridiplantae; Streptophyta; Magnoliopsida; Poales; Poaceae. The record is from RNAcentral.